GACAGGGGGUGCAAACGUUGUUCGGAAUUAUUGGGCGUAAAGCGCGUGUAGGCGGCUUUGCAAGUCGGGUGUGAAAGCCCUCAGCUUAACUGAGGAAGUGCGCCCGAAACUGCAGAGCUUGAGUACCGGAGAGGAUGGCGGAAUUCCCCAAGUAGAGGCGAAAUUCGUAGAUAUGGGGAGGAACACCGGUGGCGAAGGCGGCCAUCUGGACGGAUACUGACGCUGAGACGCGAAAGCGUGGGGAGCAAACAGG
This 253-nucleotide ribosomal RNA is filed under the name uncultured bacterium. Its description in RNAcentral is "partial 16S ribosomal RNA". It matches the Rfam family "Bacterial small subunit ribosomal RNA", at positions 524 to 776 of the family's 1533-position model. The record is from RNAcentral.